CUAUGUAUCCCAACACCUUGAGAAGGCCUGAUCUCGUCUGAUUUGAGAAGCUAAGCAGGAUCAGGCCUGGUUAGUACUUGAAUGGAAGACUAUAGGGAAUAACAGGUGCCACACAAG
RNAcentral lists this ribosomal RNA (117 nucleotides) under Periophthalmus magnuspinnatus. Lineage: Eukaryota; Metazoa; Chordata; Actinopteri; Gobiiformes; Gobiidae. The record is from RNAcentral.